GAUAGAACGGCUUCAAGUGAUAGGCAAUCUCCAGGGAUCUGCAGUGAGAUGGCUGGUUGACUGGAAAUGCUUUCGAUUACUCCAGAGGGUAUCUGUCCUUGAAGAAGCCAUUCAUUGCCUAGAAAAUAAACAUAGAUGAAAUUAACAGUGAUCUCCAAUUGAUGCAGUGCUUUCAGACCAACAGACGCAGGCACGACAGUGAAGCCCACAGUGGAGGACCUGCUCUGGAUCCACGGACAGCCGAAGAUGGCCAGAGUUUGAGUGCCUCCUGCCCACAAAGCUGACUCCGGACAUCUUCCUCCUCGCCUGCAGAGCUCAGCCCUCUCCUUGCGGGGGGCGGGGUGGUUGGUCUCCCAAGGCUCAGUCAGUCACCCCAGGGCCAGCUUCCCCAACUCUGACCCAGCAGCUCCUCCCGGCUGGCCCACCGAGAUCUGUGCUCUCUGGAUUCAGAUGCCCAGUGGGUGGUUGCUGCCCUGGGAAAGCAGCAAGGAAUGGGCCAUCUACAACAGCGUUUUCAGGUCUGAAGACUGGGAGCUAGGAAAUAAGGAAAUCUGUUAAUUAAAGCACAACUGCUUUAUAGUAAUUGUAAAGGGCUUAAUUUUGGACUUCAGUAGAAAAAUAAGGUUCUGUAUCAAUGAAACUUAAUUGCCAUUCUAGUCUGAAUUAGAAACGUGCUUACUUAGACGUCCUUAUGAUUAUUUUAUAGGCCGAGAAACAUAUUUCAUCCUGGCAAAAAAAGUUACCAAUACUAACGAAUGAAACAGAACUAAGUUCAUUGUCUGAUAUGUUUACAGACGGUAGGAAAUUAAAGUAAUACGUUAUCAAUUUAAAUGUAGGGGGUAUAAUUCCCAUUCCAAUUUUCACUGCCAACUAUAAGAUGAUCUAUGUCAGGAGAAAUGACACUUAUGAUGGCAGUCUGUAUUUUCACUUUAAAUCUUAGGAGUCUAAAAUCCUAGAAUUUUAGAAAAAAAAACUCUUGCUUUUUUUUUCAGGCAAAUGUGAUAUAUCAGGAGGCAGCUUGAAAAAUUUUAGAGACUUUAUCCUUAUCUUUAAAAAACUGGAAGAAACUUAAAUGAGUUCUAAUCAAUAUUAUUUUCAAUGUGUUGAGAAAUGUGGCUGCUAGAGUUUCCUUUGGGAGGUUAUUUGGUAAUGACUCACCACAGGAAACGACUACACAUUAAUUUAAGAAUCGUUAAAAAAAAAAAAAAACACCUUGACAACCCACCCCACAUGGUAUGUGUGGUAUGAUGUAUCUCUAUACAUUUUGUUUUUAGACAUUUAAACACAGAUCGGAGUCCUCUUUUUUCCUCUUAUGAAAGUUCAAAUUCUCUCCAAUUUCCAGUAUCUUAAACACUCUCGGCACAAAUGCAAGUUUUAUUUUAACAAGAACAGGGCAUUCUUGAACUAGGCAUUCGCUCGCUACUCUAUCUACCUGUUUUGCCUCCAACACUGGAGAUGGUUUAACCACAAGUGUCUCUGUCUGUGCUGUGAGGACUUUAGUAGGAUUCUUGAAAUGAUACUCUUCAACUUCUACUUUCAGAUUGCUUACCACAGAAAUCGUUUUUGUUUCUAAAUCCAUCACUUUAAUUUGAUGAUUAUUGGUGUCUGCUACAUAUAAUAACUGGCCAUUCUCUCCAAUACACAAGCCUCCUGGUUCAUUAAAAGUUGACUCGGUAAAGCUGGAAGUGAUAACGUUACUUGCGUCUCCGGUUCCUGCUAAUGUUGUGCAGUUUUUUGUUUUGGGAUCCACAACUUUAAUCUAAAAACAAAGAACAAAGAAGUACACGUCUGAAGGCCAAUCUCAUGUUCGUAGGAAAGCGUAGUAUCAAGCAAACCAGAGAAUCGAUUGCCAUUAGCAUCCUUGCUAAAUGUCAGGAAAAGAAUAGGCAUUUCCGUAUUUUCUUGAAAAGCCAAGCAUUCAAAUUACAGUCUCAGGGGAGACACUCCAUUCUGAGAGCUAAAAACUAUGUAAAACUCCCAGUUACAUCUUAUCUUCCAGCAGCAAUCUUUGAUGAAAUAUUUCUGGAAUUAAAAAAAUAAAGUAAGAUUCUUUUCCUGACA
Acinonyx jubatus (cheetah) is the source of this 2061-nucleotide long non-coding RNA. RefSeq lists it as uncharacterized. The record is from RefSeq and is a predicted model, not a curated record. NCBI's taxonomy places the organism in Eukaryota, Metazoa, Chordata, Mammalia, Carnivora, Felidae. The transcript has 3 exons.